UCUCUUAUUUAUUUUUUAACGUUUGUUUAUUUUUGAGAUAGAGAGUGAAUGUGUGAGCAGGGGAGGGGCAGGGAAAGAGGAAGAGAAUCCCAAGCAGGCUCUGCACUGUUAAUGCAGAGCCUGAUGUGGGGUUGAACCCAUGAGCUGUGAGAUCAUUACCUGAGCUGAAAUCAAGAGUCGGACAGUUAACCAACUGAGCCACCCAGGCAGCAGGUGCCCCUGUUUACAUCUUUUAAAUUGUAGUUACACAUGUGUAGGUUAUGUAGAUACACAGAUACAGUAUUGGUAAAAUUUUGUAUAUUCAGUACAUCACUAUAAUUAUUUGGUCCUAAUUUCAGCUGAAGAUUAUUCAGGUGUUUUAGGAUUUAGCUUUGCUUACUAUAAAAGACACCCCAAAUAAAUUUUUAAGUAGGUAGCUUACUUUUCUCAGUCCUGGCUGUUUACCUCUGGACUAUUUUCAAGUUGCUGUAUUGUCAGAGUCGAGUUUCCUCUGUGAUAGUGUUCUGUCAUCUCUAUACUAUUAAAGCAUAUAGAAGGAAUGGGAAGGUGUGAGCAGUGAUCCAUUCCUAGACCAGGACCCACAAGGUGUACUGUACUUCUGUUCACUCAUCAUUGACUUGGACUUAGUCAUGUGCCACACAAGCAGCAAGAGAGGUUGGAAAAUCAGGACAAGCAUGUGUGCAGCUACCUAUUUUUUUUUUUAAGACAGUUUUAAAUGUGUAUUUAUUUUUGAGAGAGAGUGAGCGCCUGCAUGCUUGAGCAGGGGAGGGGCAGAGAGAGAGUGGGACAGAGGAUCCAAAGUGGACUCUGCUGCCAGCAGCGAGCCCAAUACAGGGCUCAAACUCACAGUGAGAUCAUGACCUGAGCCAAAAGUUGGACACUUAACUGACUGAGCCACCCAGGUGUUCCUCUAACUACAUAUUGUGAAAGAAAAAGAAGAGGAAAUGAAUGUUUUCAAGCCAUAGGUGUCUCAGGAUAUUUAUGGCUUCUCUUUUCAUAUUUCUAAAUUUGAUAAUCCUCAGCUUAAUACAUCUGGUCCAUUAUAUACUUAAUGACAUUUUUAGUUAUAAAACAUGAUGCCCCUAAUUCAGCUGAUAAUUUUAUCAUGGCUCAUUGUAGUAUUUUUUAUAGUUGUUGAAUUGUAGGCUAAGUUGUAAUAGUUUUCAUAAAGUGCCAAGGAUUGAAUUUAUGCUUUGUUAUCUGGAUAUUUUGCAGUUUAUGCACAAAUUAUGAUAUUUUAAAUUCUAACAUGACAAUAGCCUACCUUUUUUUUUAACUUUUUUUUCUUUUACAUUUUAAAAUUUAUUUUUGAGAGAGAGGGAGAGAGGGAGAGAGAGAGAGACAGGGCACAAGUGAGGGAGGCCAGAGAGAGAGGGAGACACAGAAUCCAAAGUAGGCUCCAGGCUCUGAGCUGUCAGCACAGAGCCUGACCUGGGGCCCAGACUCACAAGCCGCGAGAUCAUGACCUGAGCCGAAGUCAGAUGCUUAACCCACUGAGCCACCCAGGCACCCCUACAACAGCCUCUUUUUAAAAAGAUUUUGUUGUUGUUGUUAUUAUUAUUAUUAUUAUUUUAAUGUUUAUUUUUGAGAGAGAGCACACAAGCAGGGGAGGGGCAGGGAGAGAGGGAGACAGGAUCCAAAGUGGGCUCUGUGCUAACAGAGAGUCCGAUGAGGGGCUCGAACUUCAUGAACCCUGAGAUCCUGACCUGAGCUGAAGUGGAUGCUUAACCGACUGAGCCACUGAAGCGUCCCCCCUGCCCCCAUCUCUUUUUUAGUUUAGAGGGAGAGGGGGAGAGAGGGAGGGAGGGAGAAUCCUAAGCAGGUUCCACGUUCAGUGCAGAGUCUGACAUGGGGCUUGAUCCCACGGCCCUGGGAUCAUGACCUGAGCUGAAAUCAAGAGUUGGAUGCUCAGCCGACUGAGCCACCCAGGUGCCCCGGUCAUGGCCUGUUUCUAUAAAGUCAUUGCUACCAGUUACACUUUUGAUGUAUACUCAACAAAUAACUGAGUAGUAGUGUGCCUUGUUCUUCAUGUAGCUAGGAAUUAACAAUUUUUUCAUAAAAAUAGGCCAUUUCUUUAAAAGGUAUUUACGGAGUUUAAUUGAAUACAGUAGAAGAGAUUUUAAGCUCAGAUUUCUCCCUUGUACUUAUAGACUGUAUUCUCUGCAUAGUGCUCUGUAUUAAUCUAUUAUAAAUGUCUUGUUCUUAGCAGUGUAUUUUUUUUUCCAGUGUUUGUUUGUUUUGAGAGAGAGUGUGCAUGCGUGCACAUGGUUUUGCAUGUACGUGGAAGGGGCAGAGAGGGGGGAGAGAGAGAAUCCCAAGCAGGCUCCAUGAUGUCAGUGCAGAGCCCAAUGCAGGGCUCCAUUUUAGGAACCUGUGAGGUCAUGACCUGAGCUGAAAUCAACAGUCAGAUGUUCAACUUACUGAGCUACCCAGGCAUCACAGAAGUACAUUUUCUAUUUAAUUUAGGGAUAUCUGCCUUUUUUUCCUCAAAUAAUUUAACCUAAAUAUUUAAUAACACAUGAAAAUCUUUUUAAGGGUUUUUUUUGUAAUAGGGUGGAACAACUUGAGAUUAUGUGAUUAUAAUUAAAGGAAAGUUCUAAAAAGCUAAAAGGGGGUGCCUGGGUGGCUCAGUCGGUUAAGCAUCCGACUUCGGCUCCGGUCAUGAUCUCACAGUCCGUGAGUUCGAGCCCCGCGUCGGGCUCUAGGCUGACAGCUCAGAACCUGGAGCCUGCUUCUGAUUCUGUGUCUCCCUCUCUUUCUGACCCUCCCCCGUUCAUGCUCUAUCUUUCUCUGUCUCAAAACUAAAUAAAUAAACAUUAAAAAAAAUUAAAAAAAGAUAUCACUCAUUCUUUAAAAAAAUAAAUAAAUAAAAAGCUAAAAGUUAUCCUAAUCUUUGUUUAAAAAAAAAUUUUUUUUUAAAACAUUUAUUUGUGUGAGACAGAACAUGAGUGGAGGAAGGGCAGAGAGCUGGGGAGGGUGGGGUUGACACAGAAUCCAAAGCAGGCUCCAGGCUCUGAGAUGUCAGUACAGAGCCCAACACGGGGCUCAAACUCAGGGACCGUGAGAUGUCGAAGUUGGAUGCUUAACUAAGUCACCCAGGCGCCCCAGUUAUCUUAAUCUUUGUAAACCUUUCUCCCUCAGAUUUCCUCUGCUAUCAUCCAUCUUUUAAAAAACUCCUUAAUGUUUAAGGGGCACCUGGGUGGCUCAGUCGAUUGAGUGUUUGACUUUGGCUCAGGUCAUGAUCUCACGGUCCGUGAGUUCGAGCCCCGCAUGGGCUGUGCACUGACCGCUCAGAGCCUGGAGCCUGCUUCAGAUUCUGCGUCUCCCUCUCUCUGGCCCUUCCCUGAUUAACUAUGUCCCUCUCUCUCUCUCUCAAAAAUAAAUAAACAUUAAAAAAAUUUUUUUAAACUCUUUAACGUUUUUUUAAAGCCAGACUUAAUUUCCCCUUUUUGAAUUGCCACUAAAGUACCACAGGCACAUGUGUGCAUGUGAUAUCUCUCUCUCUCUCUCUCUCUCUCUCUCUCUCUCUCUCUCUCUCUCUCACACACACACACACACACACACACACACACACAGUUGUGUGUUGCAGCACUUGAUUCUUUCAGAACUCAUUUCGUUGUACAGCCUGCUGAUUGAAUUACUGGUUAGAGUGUGAUUCUGUUCUCAUGAUAUCCUUGUGUGGGUAAGACUAGAUGAAUUCUAAUCAGCUUACUAUUUUUGUCCUCAUUUAGUACAUAGUCUUCUUUAAAACUCAGAAAUAAAUUUGGUACUGUUAAAAAAAUUCAUAUGGCUUAAAAGCAAUUAUCCAAUUUUUUUCCCUUUUGGGAGCCAUCUCAGUGAAGGAUAGCAUAAUAUUGUCAUUUCUUCUUAGCUUUUGGUGAAGGAAUUCUUUCCUCUGCUUUGUAAUUAUGAUUCAAUAAGCCAAUCUGUUAAGCAUGGCCUUGGCAUUAAAAUUGUAAAGACCCAAUUUUUAUCCAUUGUUCUCAUAGAAACUGGAUUCUCUCUCAUGGAUAAAUGCUCCCAUAGGUCUGUUACUGGAAUGUUUUUCCCUUAGCUCUAAUAGAGUGUUGGACUUAGGGUUCUUGUUUGUCGUGCCCCUGGAUAGUUGAAUAAAAUAGUAUGUGUUUAAGAUUACUAAGAUUGAAACAUGUUAAAAUGAUUCCAGAUCUUUAAAAUGUUGGGCCAUCUGGGUGGCUCAGUCGGUUAAGAGUCUGACUCUUGGUUUUGGCUCAGGUCAUGAUCUCACGGUUUGUGAGUUUGAGCCUGCAUCAGGCUCUGUGUGGAGCCUGCUUGGAAUUCUCUCUUUCUCCCUUUCUCUGCCCAUUCCUAUUCACAUUCUCUCUCUCUCUCAAAAUAAAUAAAUGUAAAGAAAUAUAAGGGGCGCCUUGGUGGCUCAGUUGGUUAAGCCUCCGACUUCAGAUCAGGUCACAAUCUCAUGGUUUGUGAGUUUGAGCCCCACAUCAGGCUCUGUGCUGACAGCUCAGAGCCUGGAGCCUGCUUUGGAUUCUGUCUCCCUCUCUCUCUGCCCCUUCCCCACUCACGUUCUGUCCCUGUCUAAAAUAAAUGAACAUUUUAACUUUAAAAAAUGUUACAGUGCUCCUUUUUUAGAGAGAGAGAGAGAGAGAAUCCCAAGCAGGCUCUGAGCCACAAACUGUGAGAUCAUGACCUUAGCUGAAACCAAGAGUCGGACAUUUAACCGACUGAGCCACCCAGGCACCCCAAAUGUUUGAGUGUUCUUAAGGAGCUUUCUUACUUAUUUUGUAAUAUUCUCCUUAUUAGAUUACAGCACAAACAGAACCCACAAAUAUUUUAACACAGCGAAAAGUUAAGGAAUUUGUUUAAUGUGAUAUGUCUGGUUUUUAAGCGAGAAUAAAAUUAACGAGAUUAAAGGUAAGCCUAGUGUAGUGGUGCAGUCAGAAUGACCUAGUUCAAACUUAGCUAGGUUGCUGAAUGAUAAGGAUGAUUUCAUCUUCCAUGAAAAGUCAAUUCUUAAGUGGUAUUUUUGCAGGUACUAUACACAGUCACUUUCACUGAGUGACCUUAGCAUGUGACGUAGUAUUUUUGUGUAGUCUCCAUAAACAAUUCACUUCAGUGCAUGUGCAGUUGUCAUAUAUCAUUUUGGAAUGAUGUAAAGAGCUCAGAGUCUGUCAGUGUUGUCCUUACCCCCCAACCAUUGCCCCUUGUGUGUCCAUGUGCAUGCUACCUGCAGAUUUUUUAAUUUUAAUUUUUAGAUAAUAGUAUGUAUCUUCAUCUCCUCCCUUUAUUAAACCUAUAUUAAUCACGUAAAACUUUGAAAUAAUAGUUGAGGAUCUAAUUAGAUCCACUUUCAUUUAGUUAAGUACUAAAAUGGUAAAAAGUCGGAGCGCCUGGGUGGCGCAGUCGGUUAAGCUUCCGACUUCAGCCAGGUCACGAUCUCGCGGUCCGUGAGUUCGAGCCCCGCGUCAGGCUCUGGGCUGAUGGCUCGGAGCCUGGAGCCUGUUUCCGAUUCUGUGUCUCCCCCUCUCUCUGCCCCUCCCCCGUUCAUGCUCUGUCUCUCUCUGUCCCAAAAAUAAAUAAAAAACGUUGAAAAAAAAAAAUAAAUAAAA
Molecule: long non-coding RNA, 5585 nt
Organism: Neofelis nebulosa (Clouded leopard)
Lineage: Eukaryota; Metazoa; Chordata; Mammalia; Carnivora; Felidae
Exons: 2
Source: RefSeq, a predicted model, not a curated record